AAUAAUGUGCCUGAAAAAAGGGCUAUUUUGAUAGAAUAGAUCAUGUAUUUGUACCUUUAUUU
This 62-nucleotide transfer RNA is filed under the name Folsomia candida. Its description in RNAcentral is "tRNA-Ile". The record is from RNAcentral. Lineage: Eukaryota; Metazoa; Arthropoda; Collembola; Entomobryomorpha; Isotomidae.